AUAAGGUGAAGGAACAGGCAGAACUGUUCGUAUAUGUGGUGUGUUUGGGAGGACCGGCUUCAGGCGCACAGGAUUGCAGCCCUCUGUCAGAGAUUAAGCCGAUCACAUAUAAUGGAUUUAUUGCAAGGCUUUCAGCCUUGUUUUUUUU
Molecule: small RNA, 148 nt
Filed under: Candidatus Tokpelaia hoelldobleri
Lineage: Bacteria; Pseudomonadati; Pseudomonadota; Alphaproteobacteria; Hyphomicrobiales
Description: Candidatus Tokpelaia hoelldoblerii Alphaproteobacterial sRNA ar9
Rfam family: Alphaproteobacterial sRNA ar9
Source: Rfam by way of RNAcentral